RNAcentral lists this ribosomal RNA (230 nucleotides) under uncultured bacterium. RNAcentral describes it as "partial 16S ribosomal RNA". It matches the Rfam family "Bacterial small subunit ribosomal RNA", at positions 563 to 791 of the family's 1533-position model. The record is from RNAcentral.
AGGGGUGGCGUAGGCGGUUUAUUAAGUCAGUGGUGAAAGACGGUCGCUCAACGAUUGCAGUGCCAUUGAUACUGGUAGACUUGAGUGGGAUUGAGGUAGCUGGAAUGGAUAGUGUAGCGGUGAAAUGCAUAGAUAUUAUCCAGAACACCAAUUGCGUAGGCAAGUUACUAAGUCUCAACUGACGCUGAGGCACGAAAGUGUGGGUAUCAAACAGGAUUAGAUACCCCUGU